GCAAGUCGAGCGAGAAUGUUUUAAUGGAAUCUUCGGAUGAAAUUAAAACAGGAAAGCGGCGGACGGGUGAGUAACGCGUAGGCAACCUACCCUAUACAGAAGGAUAGCCUCGGGAAACUGGGAAUAAUACUUAAUGAAACUCUAACAGCGAAUGAUGUGUGAGUCAAAAUUCAGGUGGUAUAGGAUGGGCCUGCGUCUGAUUAGCUAGUUGGUAAGGUAAUGGCUUACCAAGGCGACGAUCAGUAGCCGACCUGAGAGGGGGAGC
Molecule: ribosomal RNA, 265 nt
Filed under: uncultured bacterium
Lineage: Bacteria
Description: partial 16S ribosomal RNA
Rfam family: Bacterial small subunit ribosomal RNA
Source: RNAcentral